Molecule: long non-coding RNA, 733 nt
Organism: Mercenaria mercenaria
Lineage: Eukaryota; Metazoa; Mollusca; Bivalvia; Venerida; Veneridae
Exons: 5
Source: RefSeq, a predicted model, not a curated record
CCACAGUGACUCAAUCUGACUAAAGUACAUCUCCUAUUACGCUACGCAUAGGAUCUGACAACGAGCUAUUGAUGGCCUCGUUCUGACAACCCUUCCGCUAGCCAAUCAAAAGCUACCUUACAACAUUCUGUAAGCCUUGGUUUUUGAUAUCAACAAUUUUUAUGUCAAAAGAUGAGAGAUAGCCGGUUAGCUCAGUCGGUAGGGCACUUGUAAACGAGAGGUCCCGGGUUCGAGCCCUGGAUAAACUGCAAAUAUUUCGGAUAGUGGUUAUAUCUUUGACACACAGUCCACAGUUUCCGAGUAAAUGCCACUACCUUGAAUAUUAUCUUGUUUUAGGUUUUCAAUCAUUUACUUCUGGACAAAGGGGGCCAAUUUGCUUUAAAUGUGAGCAGCAAAGUAGUCCAAACGACUGCAAUAAAAUCAGAAUCUGCGGUCGGGAUGAGGUAUGUAUGCUGAAUACGACAUCAGUUGGGACGAGUCACCAGAUGCUAUGGAAAUCGGAUUGCCAGAAAAAAUCGACAUGUCAACACACUGGUGUAAUCAGUUCUAACUCAGGGAAUGGUGGCUGUUCGAAUAAUUGCUGUUCCCAGGACCUAUGUAAUAAUGUGUGUUAAGGAUGAAGGUUUUGUGGUACACAAGUUUGCAUGGUGUAUGGCUUAGAAUGAUUUUAGAAUGUGGUUUUCCCUGUUGGAUAUUCUUCCUUGUUUUUAGAACAGUUUCGUUUACAUGUACC